CCGGCGCACGGGUGCGUAACGCGUAUGCAAUCUACCCUUUACUGGAGAAUAGCCCGGAGAAAUUCGGAUUAAUGCUCCAUAUGCUCGUAGGAUCUCCUGAUCCAGCGAGGAAAGCUCCGGCGGUAAAGGAUGAGCAUGCGUCCCAUUAGCUUGUUGGUGAGGUAACGGCUCACCAAGGCGACGAUGGGUAGGGGGCCUGAGAGGGCGAUCCCCCACACUGGUACUGAGACACGGACCAGACUCCUACGGGAGGCAGCAGUGAGGAAUAUUGGGCAAUGGAGGCAACUCUGACCCAGCCAUGCCGCGUGCAGGAAGACGGUCCUCUGGAUUGUAAACUGCUUUUAUUAGGGAAUAAACCCUCCUACGUGUAGGAGGCUGAAGGUACCUGAUGAAUAAGCAUCGGCUAACUCCGUGCCAGCAGCCGCGGUAAUACGGAGGAUGCAAGCGUUAUCCGGAUUUAUUGGGUUUAAAGGGUCCGUAGGCGGGUAUUUAAGUCAGUGGUGAAAGCCCACAGCUCAACUGUGGAACUGCCAUUGAUACUGGAUGUCUUGAGUAUAGUAGAAGUAGGCGGAAUAGGGCAUGUAGCGGUGAAAUGCAUAGAUAUGCCCUAGAACACCGAUUGCGAAGGCAGCUUACUAUGUUAUAACUGACGCUGAGGGACGAAAGCGUGGGGAGCAAACAGGAUUAGAUACCCUGGUAGUCCACGCCGUAAACGAUGAUUACUCGCUGCUGGCGAUAUACAGUCAGUGGCCAAGCGAAAGCAUUAAGUAAUCCACCUGGGGAGUACGCCGGCAACGGUGAAACUCAAAGGAAUUGACGGGGGCCCGCACAAGCGGU
This 837-nucleotide ribosomal RNA is filed under the name uncultured bacterium. RNAcentral's name for it is "bacterial SSU rRNA". It matches the Rfam family "Bacterial small subunit ribosomal RNA", at positions 95 to 933 of the family's 1533-position model. The record is from RNAcentral.